GGAUGAUCAGCCACACUGGAACUGAGACACGGUCCAGACUCCUACGGGAGGCAGCAGUGGGAAAUAUUGCACAAUGGGCGCAAGCCUGAUGCAGCCAUGCCGCGUGUAUGAAGAAGGCCUUCGGGUUGUAAAGUACUUUCAGUGGUGAGGAAGGUUAUGUAUUUAAUAGAUGCGUAGCUUGACGUUAGCCACAGAAGAAGCACCGGCUAACUCCGUGCCAGCAGCCGCGGUAAUACGGAGGGUGCGAGCGUUAAUCGGAAUUACUGGGCGUAAAGCGCAUGCAGGUGGUCUGUUAAGUCAGAUGUGAAAGCCCGGGGCUUAACCUCGGAAUAGCAUUUGAAACUGUCAGACUAGAGUACUGUAGAGGGGGGUAGAAUUUCAGGUGUAGCGGUGAAAUGCGUAGAGAUCUGAAGGAAUACCGGUGGCGAAGGCGGCCCCCUGGACAGAUACUGACACUCAGAUGCGAAAGCGUGGGGAGCAAACAGGAUUAGAUACCCUGGUAGUCCACGCCGUAAACGAUGUCUACUUGGAGGUUGUGGCCUUGAGCCGUGGCUUUCGGAGCUAACGCGUUAAGUAGACCGCCUGGGGAGUACGGUCGCAAGAUUAAAACUCAAAUGAAUUGACGGGGGCCCGCACAAGCGGUGGAGCAUGUGGUUUAAUUCGAUGCAACGCGAAGAACCUUACCUACUCUUGACAUCUACAGAAGCUUGCGGAGACGCGAGUGUGCCUUCGGGAACUGUAAGACAGGUGCUGCAUGGCUGUCGUCAGCUCGUGUUGUGAAAUGUUGGGUUAAGUCCCGCAACGAGCGCAACCCUUAUCCUUGUUUGCCAGCACAUAAUGGUGGGAACUCCAGGGAGACUGCCGGUGAUAAACCGGAGGAAGGUGGGGACGACGUCAAGUCAUCAUGGCCCUUACGAGUAGGGCUACACACGUGCUACAAUGGCACAUACAGAGGGCAGCCAACUUGCAAAAGUGAGCGAAUCCCAAAAAGUGUGUCGUAGUCCGGAUCGGAGUCUGCAACUCGACUCCGUGAAGUCGGAAUCGCUAGUAAUCGUGGAUCAGAAUGCCACGGUGAAUACGUUCCCGGGCCUUGUACACACCGCCCGUCACACCAUGGGAGUGGGCUGCAAAAGAAGUAGGUAGUUUAACCUUCGGGGGGACGCUUACCACUUUGUGGUUCAUGACUGGGGUGAAGUCGUAACAAGGUA
RNAcentral lists this ribosomal RNA (1208 nucleotides) under metagenome. RNAcentral describes it as "bacterial SSU rRNA". It matches the Rfam family "Bacterial small subunit ribosomal RNA", at positions 298 to 1498 of the family's 1533-position model. The record is from RNAcentral.